CAAAGUCACAAGCCAGAGUCACACCAGAGAUUGGAGCACAGGGCUGUCUGACAUCUUACAAACAGGAUAGCAGCCCUAGAAUCAUCAAGGUCCUUUGCCCUUUCAUUCUCCCUCUGAGGGCAUAAGAAGACUAGCAGAAUCCUCCAGUUCUGCUACUAAGAUGCAUCAACUGUUCUAAUGCAGUGGGAAUAAGAUGGUUGGAGAGCUAAGCAGCAUGUGCAGAGUGAGGUUUUCCAGUUAGCCUGAGCAAGAAGAAUACUUUGACUGCGUCCAGACUUCCCUUUCAACUUUCUCGGAUCAGCCUGUCACUAAAUCUUUGUGUUUCAAUCUUUGUAAUUAAACCUGAAAAGA
Hippopotamus amphibius kiboko is the source of this 351-nucleotide long non-coding RNA. RefSeq lists it as uncharacterized. The transcript has 3 exons. Lineage: Eukaryota; Metazoa; Chordata; Mammalia; Artiodactyla; Hippopotamidae. The record is from RefSeq and is a predicted model, not a curated record.